AAGACUGUGAAACCAUCACGAGGUUAAAGCGAAUUAGACAAGUGGCUUUGUCAAGCGGAGUGCAGUGUCGGUAUCUUUCGGGGUAUCGGUCACGGUGCCUGUCUCACCCGAGCUGCGUAUUUAGUCGCCACGGCAUGACGUGAAUAAGUCUCGAGAGAGAACCUAUCCGGAAGUUAUAGCGUGAUAACGCGGGGCUAAGGCUCGUCCGGUUACAACGUUCCACGUGUUCAGCAGCGGCAUUACCGGACUUGUUCGGUGUUGUUGUUGUUGCGCCGUGGGAGGUUCGGGCAGUCUCCUGCUAUAAGCGUUUCCGGGGAUGGUCUAUGCCUUAGGUUUUGACUAUCGUUGCUGUUGGGUUUUGAGCUAGCACCAGCGCUUCCUAUUGGACGAGCGCAGCGGUCGUUUCUGCGGUGUCGUCGACACUUGCGAGCGCGGUCGGGAACUGGUGCGUCUAAUUUCUUUGCCCUUCUCGGAGGGCGGGAGAUAUUUAAAAAGGCUGUAUCAGGGACGACUGUGCGAUUAGUGUCGCGGCGAACGCUGAAGACGAUUUCUUAGAGGCCGUUUGCCGGAGACGCGUUUUUUAGUGCGCGGAAAAGCUCCGGCGGACGUAAAAUAGCGCCUUCGCUGCGUUUGGCAUUGAAGUGCCGGCUAUACGUCUAUUCGUCCCGUCUUGAAACACGGACCAAGGAGUCUAACAUGCGUGCGAGUCAAGGGGAAUUUAACACCCCACGGCGCAAGGAAAGUGAUUUUGCUUUACGCGGGC
Molecule: ribosomal RNA, 763 nt
Filed under: Limnoria quadripunctata
Lineage: Eukaryota; Metazoa; Arthropoda; Malacostraca; Isopoda; Limnoriidae
Description: partial 28S ribosomal RNA
Source: RNAcentral